GAUGAACGCUGGCGGCGUGCCUAAUACAUGCAAGUCGAGCGAACAGACGAGGAGCUUGCUCCUCUGACGUUAGCGGCGGACGGGUGAGUAACACGUGGAUAACCUCCCUAUAAGACUGGGAUAACUUCGGGAAACCGGCGCUAAUACCGGAUAAUAUAUUGAACCGCAUGGUUCAAUAGUGAGAGACGGUUUUGCUGUCACUUAUAGCUGGAUCCGCGCCGCAUUAGCUAGUUGGUAAGGUAACGGCUUAUCAAGGCAACGAUGCGUAGCCGACCUGAUAGGGUGAUCGGCCACACUGGAACUGAGACACGGUCCAGACUCCUACGGGAGGCAGCAGUAGGGAAUCUUCCGCAAUGGGCGAAAGCCUGACGGAGCAACGCCGCGUGAGUGAUGAAGGUCUUCGGAUCGUAAAACUCUGUUAUUAGGGAAGAACAAAUGUGUAAGUAACUAUGCACGUCUUGACGGUACCGAAUCAGAAAGCCACGGCUAACUACGUG
This 497-nucleotide ribosomal RNA is filed under the name uncultured bacterium. RNAcentral describes it as "partial 16S ribosomal RNA". It matches the Rfam family "Bacterial small subunit ribosomal RNA", at positions 28 to 507 of the family's 1533-position model. The record is from RNAcentral.